UGAGAGGACAGCAAACCAAGCACAAUCCACUUUCCACUGUGAGGAAGACUUUGAGUUAGACGGGCUAUCGGUUUUUCACCUAUCAUCAAGCCAUCCAUCUACCUACCUCACAGACAGCGAACACUUGACAUGUACUAUUUUGGCAUUGUACAUAUUAUACAGUAGUUUUGGACACAGUAUAACAGUGCACGAGUCUCCGUGUCCACAUGUGCCAAAUGCGCACAGACACAGGGCUGCUCAUUCAGCCCUGGCCAUUUGAAUUUUCUCUUAUUUUCUCUAUCUCUGUUAUAUUUUAAAUCUUCACAGCAGCGUGAGCACACUGUCUUAGCUGUAAAAUGUAGGCUUAUAUUAUUACCCCUCUAACCCCGUACAUUACGCCCGUGAGUGUGUAUUAGAGAAGGCACACACAGGCUGAAUACGGGGACUAACGGGCCCUCAGCAUAUGUGGGAGUCCCGUCAGUCCCCAGUACCGCGAGUUCCCGGGGACCACAGGGUCACCGGGAAAUGACGGAGCCUUAGUAAGAAUGAGAUCCCGCUAUUCCACGGGUCCGUCACUCCCCCUUCUAUAGAUUCUGGGGACUGACGGGGCCGGGUACUAGAGGUAAGGACUCGUUAAAGAGCAGUAUGAGAUGUUUGCUUCAGAAAUCCUGACCUUGCAAUAGAAAUGUAAACAUUCAGUCAUUUUGAAUUUACCACAAUGUCUUCUGCUUCCAUAUGAAUUCAAACAUGAAGACUGAACAUGCGCUGGGGUACAGGUUACGUCUGUGUUCAGCUUCAGUUGCAUCAAUAAGCUCCCCUCUAUACUCGACCACAAAGUCUCCUUGUUUGAAAUUGGCUAAAGUGAAGAUGCCACGACCUGAAGACACAACCAUAUUAGAGACACAGGCGUGGCAGCACUGCAAAUAAUCAAUUCAUUAAAUAUGUAUAUCUGUAAAUUGCAAGUAUGCAAUGUUGUGCUUUUUUCAAUUCUACAUAGAUAAUAAAGAAAACAUGUCAAAGUGCAGAAAACAUAAAUAGCCAGGCUCGCUAAUAACUAAAUUACUAUUAAAAUACCUUUAAUUUUAAUUUAUAUUGAUGUUUGUACAGGUCACCACUGGUGAUGCGUAACCCCUCAGUCUAGCCUGCAGUGUGUCAAAGUCACUCACCUUUAAC
This is a long non-coding RNA of Oreochromis aureus, 1152 nucleotides long. Lineage: Eukaryota; Metazoa; Chordata; Actinopteri; Cichliformes; Cichlidae. The record is from Ensembl.